Long non-coding RNA from Oncorhynchus mykiss (rainbow trout), 2621 nucleotides. RefSeq lists it as uncharacterized. Lineage: Eukaryota; Metazoa; Chordata; Actinopteri; Salmoniformes; Salmonidae. The record is from RefSeq and is a predicted model, not a curated record.
ACCAAGGUUCGUAUCAGGGGUAAAUAUUUUGAUAUCAAUGUAAAUAGCCUUAUGGUCUGUGAGGGGAGUAGUACAAAUAUUUGUAGUAACACACUCACUAUCAAUACAUUUGGAUAAAAGCCAAAAAUCUAUUCUGGAUUUUCUGGAGCCUGUUUUGUUACUCCAAGUGAAUGAUCUUUCGGCCGGAAACCUCUCUCUCCAUAUAUCAGUAAGAUCAAACUUUUCCAUAAAAAGUAUUAAACCCAAAUUCAGAGCAGACCUGUAUGCCAUUUAAAACAGUAUCUUGGUUACUGUAUACAUAAAACAUAAAUUCAGCUUUCAAUCUUCUUCGUAAUUUUGUAAACAAAAUAGGUCUUCUGGUCAUACAAGAACAAACUAAUGAAAUGAAAUUCCUGAGUAUUCCUGUAAAAUAGUCACCUGAUGCUUGUUAGGUAAACCACAUAAGGAAAAUGAGAAUACCAUGGCUGAAACCAUCAACCUGUUCCUUCUGGUGAUAUUUUAGGGAGGAAUAUGGAUUUCUGAACCGUUGAUGAAACCUCGUCCUCCGACGAAGUAAGCAGCCUUCCCCUCACUUCGUGCUAUCUUGAUCGUUGGCCACAACUUGUUCCUUCUUUCUAUGUCUUCCGGGCUGAGAUGCUCGGCGAAACGCAUACCAUGGCUCUGAAGGAAGGCGUUCUUCCUAGCAGCUUUCCAGACAGCAUCCCUGUAGAAUCUGGUAGUGAAUAGGAUGAUGAUACCCCUGGGUCUUGAAUCGUUUUGCUGUUGCUUCUUGCCGAGGCGAUGUUCAACGUCGAUGGUAUCACCAACUUUGUUCUUCUCUGCAGGCAAAACUUCUUGGCAGAUACGGAUAGCCUCUCCUCGCACAUCUUCAUUCUCCACCUCUGGCAAGCCGUAGAGUCUCAGGUUCCAUUUUCUUGUGUAUUGUUCCAGAUCAGUGAGACGUCUAUGGUAGACAUUGUUAUUCUUUUCCACCCUUUCCACAUUUUUUUCAACUUUUGCCACUCGUUUUCACAUCAUUAAUUUCACCACAUGCAAACUCCACAGUCUUUUUCAAGCCUUCGAUAACCAUGGUGUUCGCGCUUACCAUUUUCUCAAUGGCGUCACACCUGGAGUUGACAUGUAAGGAGAGGGUAGCCAUGAUGUCAGAGUUCAUGUUGGGUUUUUUGGAGGGUGGAGGUUUGCACGGAGUAACCGGUGAAGAGGAGAAUUCGUCAUCUUCAGCAUUCGAAAGCAUGCUAUUAUCCAUAGGCGAAGCGUAGUUAUGGCAGUUGUCUAAAAGCACGUUUCUCUCUUGUUGAUUAGCAAUAGAACGGCUAACUUCUUUCUUUCUUUUUUUGUCACGACUUUGCUUGGGCAUGCUGAAAUAAAUUAUCCAAUUAUCAUUCCAGUCACAGGAAAGGUCUUAUAUCGCAAACAAAUAAAAAAUAAUAAUGACUAAACUUUUUUUUUUCACAAUCUUUCUGAAGUUUGGUACGGAGCUCGGUAAAAAAGCGUCUGUUCAAGCAGCCAUCUUGGCACUCCCCGACCAAUUGUUGUUGUUCCCAUUCUCGUUCCUUUCCCUCUCCCACACAUCAUCAUUCUGCGCCUGAGUGGCUCGCUUGUGGGCGUGCUGGCAGAAUAUGGCAGGAGCAUGGGUUGUGCGUCAAGAAUUCUGCAUACAGUAGCACGUUUGAAUGAAGGUGUGGUUAUUCACAGGCAAAUUGUUAUAUGCUAUGGAGGUACAUUUGUGCCUUUUUGUUGAGAGAAAAACUCUUCUUUAAAAAAAAAAUUCAAUCAAAAAUAAUUGUUCUGAAAGCAACUCUUUCCCGACACAAAGGAAGUCAUAGCGGACAUCUACGAAGAAAGACUGUGUUAUGAUGGCAUCUCAGGUAAGCAGCACUGGGCAUUUUUCCGUCCAAAUUUUAAAUAGCUAGUAGUUAGCUCCUACGAUUCAGUGUAGGUUUAUAAAAUUCUACUAUAUUAUAUAAAUCCAUACCGUAGAGUGAUAAGUCAUGCAAUUAUUAUUCUCAAGCUAACCAAAAGCGAUUAGCGUUCUCGCCAUUUUCAGUUGAAUUAAUCUAACUUUCUUUCAUGGCAACUCAUAAGCAGGCCAUGUCAUAUUUGUUUCAUAGUCGAUAUAUAAUCAUACUUCAUGACAGUGUAACGGUUAGCUUUUUACAGAAGGAUGAAAGAACACAAUAUGUCUGUCACAAAGAGUUAGGGAGGCUUUGCAGCGUGUAGAUGAUGCAGGUAUCAUUGCAUAUUUCCCAUCACCUAAUGAACAACCACAAUAUCAGUCUGGUGUUAAGCUUUCUGUGCUGUAUUGACGUAUCCUGAAAAUGACAUUUGCUGCUUUAGAUUGAUAUCUACAAAAAAUAAGCUAUUUUCUUUACUUUCAGAGAGCGAGCUGAUCAAGGGGUCGAAAAUGUAGAUAUUGCCAGAUGUUCACUGUUCGAGGAACAGGCCGCGGAAGCUAUGGCAAAAGUGUCCAUAACCAGAGCAUAAAGUACUCAGUAGCCACUUCGGUUGGACACCUGGUAUGUUUUGAUGUGAGAGAGGAUGCCGGUCCCGUCAUCGUCACCUCACCCACUCUUAAGAUAACCUUCGGGCCAACUGGGGGCCCAAGGCUGGUUAGGAGACAG